RNAcentral lists this long non-coding RNA (2259 nucleotides) under Hordeum vulgare. RNAcentral describes it as "long non-coding RNA (HVUL_LNC008383)". The record is from RNAcentral. Lineage: Eukaryota; Viridiplantae; Streptophyta; Magnoliopsida; Poales; Poaceae.
UCGCUUAACCCGGUGAAGAAGAGCUUCCAAUCGAAUAUGCUUAACAAACCCAGCCGUCGGGCUACGAGUGGGGAUUUCUAGGGAGAUUCAAGCUGUGGCUCCGCUAGCUUUAGUCGGCAUAAGAACAAAGAACUAAAUGGGUCUCCUUAGCCUUUUGUUAGCUUCGGUGGCCUGGAGUCUUCUACGGGGCAUCUCUUCUUUAUAGAUGAGAAGUCGAUUCAGAACACGCAAGAAAAGGGUUGAUGGAACCAUGCAAAGAGUGCUCAUUAACUCACUAGCGUCCCAAUAAAAUCAUUCCAAAGUACUUCUCCAUUUCGGAACAAGCUCUUGGUGAAAAAGACUGGCGUGUAGUCCGAAAAGCGCCUAUGGAAGAUCUACUAUUUUCCUUCGCACUAAGUCAAUCUCCAUGCAUAUAUUCUGCCAGUUCUCAUUCAAUCUCUUUUCAUCCGGGAAGCUUCCCCGCAACUCCAACUACCGGAAACAUUAGCUCGAACAUUCGAGUUAGAGAUGAAAAGGACCGCCCUUCAGCUAGAACCCUCCCUUAAAGAAAUGAAAUUGAGUCAGUGACCCUAUGAGAGAGGAAGAGUUCCGUUGUGUCCAGUCAUCGUCUAUUCAACUCAAAGAACUUCUAGUUUGAUUAGCAUAAAGAAAGUGCCAGCUAGGCCAGCCAUUAGUACCAUAGCUUUCCCAAGAAGGAUAGGAGAUGGAUCAGACUCUUCAGCGGGAAAGAAUGCAAUCAAAGGACCCUAUGAAUACUACUAGCCGUAGCUGUGGUUGUGGCCAAGAAGCAGGCAGGGAAGGGGAUGUCCUUCUUUAAAGGAAUUUCGUCAGGGAUCUAUUCCUUGAAUCAAUAAAGCAAACUAAAAGUCUGGCAGUGCGAGAGGCCAAUAUGACUAUCUAUAUCAGUUCUUCGCCUUGGUCUACUCCAUCAUGUAGUGAGUCGAGGUCUGUCCCUAAGGAGAAAGACGAAGCAAAACCCCAACGAUUAGAUUAUAGGGUUGGACCCCAUUUUUUCAAGAAGGAGCAUGAAGGUGCCGAAAAUAGGGCUUUUAUCACGUUUGAGAGUUGUUCCCUCUUAGGGCUGAAAGUGGAAAGUCUUCGAGUAUCGUCGUCCUUCUAUUGAUAGAUUAAGGAUUCGGAUAGAUUCAGAGAAGGCCAACUUAUCUCGAUCUGGUCAUUCACCCGAUAUGGGAAUACCUUUUAGGAAGGCAAGACUAGAAAAAAGUCCGAUUGACCGAAGAUGUGAAGAAAUCGACUGCGUUAGCCCUUCAUAAGGGAAUACCUGACUCAGUCAAUUCUUUAGUUGACAUCGAGACCAAGUCCCAUUGACUCUCUUGGAGGAAGAUCCGCCAAGGGGCGAAGCGGUCCAAUUCAAUGUUUUACUGUUACGCUAAGUAACUCUCCUGUUAGGAAAUCGAUCUAGCUGCUUAUCCUAUAGAUAGAGAGUGUCGGCAAUCACCUCCGCUAUUUCAGCUGUUGUCGGCAUAACAGCUUCGGUAGUAUACCUACCUAAACAGAUAAUUCGUACCAUGAUUAGCAGACCCUUCUCAACUCUAGCGAUUUCAAGCGGACCAGUCUCCAAUUACCUUGCAAAGCGUUAGCGCUAGCCAGGUCAAUAGUUCAAGUAUCAAUGAAAGUCUCUAUUUCAGUAAAGUAGAAAUGACAGCUGUUUAGGUAACAGAAAAUGCCUGCUAGAGGUAUGAUUCCGAUCUUUGCGCAAGCAAUAAUAUAUGCUAUGGCACUUUUUGGCACAGCUCCUCUUUAAUGCCAGUUGGUGUGAGGGAGUUCGCUGGGGAUGUGAACUGUUGAAUCGUGAGUCAAGAUAUCCACGCACAGUAAAGAUCAAUAGGUUGAAAUCAGAUAAAGGCAAAUAUGGCUUUGAGGAAGAAUACGAAUGGGAUUCCACAUUCAUAGGCUAUUAGGCAGGUUUGGAUUCUCCUGGCAAAGGCAGAUAUUUCUAUGCAUUCCUCUGCCAAGUCCAGUUCCUCUCAGUCUCUCGAUUGCAUCGGCCAGGUCCUUCCGAUAAAAGCUCAUCCCUUCCUCCAAGAGCUAUCCGUCUAUUCGAAGGAAUGAAAGCUCAACCGGAACAAACGCUAGAUUCAAGUCCUUUGGUUGCCACCCACCACCAGUGGGAGAGGCAGAACAAUGAAUCAAUUUCCUAGAUCCAAUGGUUUCUCGGGCGAUCCCAUUCCCAUUUCCACCUAUCGAAGCCCAACCAAGUGAGGCACUUCCACCGGAUUCGUUCAAAGCUUUCCAUCG